This 451-nucleotide ribosomal RNA is filed under the name uncultured bacterium. RNAcentral describes it as "bacterial SSU rRNA". It matches the Rfam family "Bacterial small subunit ribosomal RNA", at positions 340 to 784 of the family's 1533-position model. The record is from RNAcentral.
UACGGGAGGCAGCAGUGGGGAAUAUUGCACAAUGGGCGCAAGCCUGAUGCAGCCAUGCCGCGUGUAUGAAAAAGGCCUUCGGGUUGUAAAGUACUUUCAGUCGUGAGGAAGGUGUUAAGGUUAAUAACCUUAGCAAUUGACGUUAGCGACAGAAGAAGCACCGGCUAACUCCGUGCCAGCAGCCGCGGUAAUACGGAGGGUGCGAGCGUUAAUCGGAAUUACUGGGCGUAAAGGGCACGCAGGCGGUUAAUUAAGUUGGAUGUGAAAUCCCCGGGCUAACCUGGGAAUGGCAUUCAAGACUGGUUAGCUAGAGUCUUGUAGAGGGGGUAGAAUUCCAUGUGUAGCGGUGAAAUGCGUAGAGAUGUGGAGGAAUACCGGUGGCGAAGGCGGCCCCUGGACAAAGACUGACGCUCAUGUGCGAAAGCGUGGGGAGCAAACGAGGGAUUAGAUA